Molecule: ribosomal RNA, 301 nt
Filed under: uncultured bacterium
Lineage: Bacteria
Description: partial 16S ribosomal RNA
Rfam family: Bacterial small subunit ribosomal RNA
Source: RNAcentral
CAGUCGCCACGGUAAUACAGAGGGUGCGAGCGUUAAUCGGAUUUACUGGGCGUAAAGCGUGCGUAGGCGGCUUCUUAAGUCGGAUGUGAAAUCCCUGAGCUUAACUUAGGAAUUGCAUUCGAUACUGGGAAGCUAGAGUAUGGGAGAGGAUGGUAGAAUUCCAGGUGUAGCUGUGAAAUGCGUAGAGAUCUGGAGGAAUACCGAUGGCGAAGGCAGCCAUCUGGCCUAAUACUGACGCUGAGGUACGAAAGCAUGGGGAGCAAACAGGAUUAGAUACCCGCGUAGUCCCUGUCUCUUAUAC